This 253-nucleotide ribosomal RNA is filed under the name uncultured bacterium. RNAcentral describes it as "partial 16S ribosomal RNA". It matches the Rfam family "Bacterial small subunit ribosomal RNA", at positions 524 to 776 of the family's 1533-position model. The record is from RNAcentral.
UACGAAGGGGGCUAGCGUUGCUCGGAAUGACUGGGCGUAAAGGGCGCGUAGGCGGUUUGGACAGUCAGGCGUGAAAUUCCUGGGCUUAACCUGGGGGCUGCGCUUGAUACAUCCAGACUUGAGUGGGGAAGAGGGUCGUGGAAUUCCCAGUGUAGAGGUGAAAUUCGUAGAUAUUGGGAAGAACACCGGUGGCGAAGGCGGCAACCUGGUCCUUGACUGACGCUGAGGCGCGAAAGCGUGGGGAGCAAACAGG